CGCGACCCCUACUUGUUAGUUGCCAUCAUUCAGUUGGGCACUCUAGCGAGACUGCCGGUAAUAAACCGGAGGAAGGUGGGGAUGACGUCAAAUCAUCAUGCCCCUUAUGACCUGGGCUACACACGUGCUACAAUGGUUGGUACAACGAGUUGCGAGUCGGUGACGGCGAGCUAAUCUCUUAAAGCCAAUCUCAGUUCGGAUUGUAGGCUGCAACUCGCCUACAUGAAGUCGGAAUCGCUAGUAAUCGCGGAUCAGCACGCCGCGGUGAAUACGUUCCCGGGCCUU
RNAcentral lists this ribosomal RNA (285 nucleotides) under uncultured Streptococcus sp. RNAcentral's name for it is "partial 16S ribosomal RNA". It matches the Rfam family "Bacterial small subunit ribosomal RNA", at positions 1097 to 1382 of the family's 1533-position model. Lineage: Bacteria; Bacillati; Bacillota; Bacilli; Lactobacillales; Streptococcaceae. The record is from RNAcentral.